RNAcentral lists this ribosomal RNA (474 nucleotides) under beta proteobacterium oral taxon B96. RNAcentral describes it as "bacterial SSU rRNA". It matches the Rfam family "Bacterial small subunit ribosomal RNA", at positions 29 to 489 of the family's 1533-position model. Lineage: Bacteria; Pseudomonadati; Pseudomonadota; Betaproteobacteria. The record is from RNAcentral.
AUUGAACGCUGGCGGCAUGCCUUACACAUGCAAGUCGAACGGCAUCGCGGGAAAGCUUGCUUUCCUGGCGGCGAGUGGCGAACGGGUGAGUAACACAUCGGAACGUACCGGCUAGUGGGGGAUAACCCGUCGAAAGACGGGCUAAUACCGCAUACGCUCUUAGGAGGAAAGCAGGGGACCUUUGGGCCUUGCGCUAGCCGAGCGGCCGAUGUCCGAUUAGCUAGUUGGUGGGGUAAAGGCCUACCAAGGCGACGAUCGGUAGCGGGUCUGAGAGGACGAUCCGCCACACUGGGACUGAGACACGGCCCAGACUCCUACGGGAGGCAGCAGUGGGGAAUCUUGGACAAUGGGGGCAACCCUGAUCCAGCAAUGCCGCGUGGGUGAAGAAGGCCUUCGGGUUGUAAAGCCCUUUCGGCAGGGAAGAAAUCGGCGGGGGCGAAUAAACCCUGCUGGAUGACGGUACCUGCAAAAAGA